This is a long non-coding RNA of Mesoplodon densirostris (Blainville's beaked whale), 1606 nucleotides long. RefSeq lists it as uncharacterized. The transcript has 3 exons. NCBI's taxonomy places the organism in Eukaryota, Metazoa, Chordata, Mammalia, Artiodactyla, Ziphiidae. The record is from RefSeq and is a predicted model, not a curated record.
GCCCCAAGGGUCCUCUGGCGUCUGUGACGGCGCGGGUCUCGGCCUCUUCAGUCGGCUCAGGCCAGCGCUUCAGGGGUCCCUCCAGUCCCCUCCCCCGUUCCCUCCGCCCUCCGGCACUUUCUCUAACCGAGGAAGGAGCGGAGAGGAACCUGGCUGAAUCAAGGGACUUGCGAGCCUAUGGAUGAGUUUUAAACCCGAGAGCCAAUUAAAUAUUAUUGGAACCUACUGUAAGGGCGGGGAAGGGGAGGUUAGGAGGCGGAGAGGCUGAGUCCCACGGCGGCGGGUCCAGGCCCGGAACCCAGCACAGCCCUCCCUCGGCCCUUCCCUGCCGUCAGGACGAGGGGCGCUGCCACCCCAGCCAGGACUCUGCGCCUCCCCGCCCCCGAUUCCCCUCAGUACGCGCAAGUCGGCCCCUCCCCACUCACGCCGGGCCGAGCAAGCCGAGCGGAGGGCAGGGGCGAGACGAAGGACCAAAGUUCCCCGGCCUAAGACGCCGCGCGCAGCUCUUCCUACACAGCAGCUGCGGCUCCAGGCGAACGCCUGCGCCUCAAAGGAAACGUCUUGGAUGGAUGCCCAACUGCCACCAAAACCGGUGAGGGUAUCGCUCACCUCUGCAUCCUCGGUGUCUACAAGAGCGCCUGGCAUAUGAGCACAGGCUCCGGACGCGCAGGCUCAGCGGCCAUGGCUCACGGGCCCAGCCACUCCGCGGCAUAUGGGAUCCUCCCGGACCGGGGCACGAACCCGUGUCCCCUGCAUCGGCAGGUGGACUCUCAACCACUGCGCCACCAGGGAAGCCCCCCUUCCUCUAUUUUUAUUAGCCACAUUGAAAGGAAAAUGAUCAGAUGAUUGUAUAGAAUUUUAAAGCGAACAAUGUGCCUUUAAAAUUGCUUAAUAAACAGGUGGUUAAAAUAUCAUCAGAGAUGUUAUCGGAAUUCAGUUAGGAUGGUAUGUGUCACAUCUGAUGGACAAUGGAAUGGUAAAUAACAAAUCAAAUAAGUAAAUGCUCACAUAGAAAAAUACAACAUAACUUUUUAUGAAUAAGAGCUUAUUGCCAUAAUAAGAUAUAUAAAAUUGACUUCAUGGAUAUAAAUAGCAAAAGAAAAACCCCAAAGCAAAACUCUUUUUUAAUCAAUUUUCUCUCCAGACCAAAAAAAAACCAGCCUAAGAAGUAAAAUAAAAUUAGGAAUUUACCUACUGGUCUGUGUCCUUUCAAUGGACACAAAAAUUUUAACAUGCAUUUGGUUGUAGCAGGCUCUUGACCUGUUGAACUAAGGGGAGGUGUUUGAUUUUGUUCAUGUAACCUGAUGUGAAUACAGAAGGGCUAGAGCUCGUGAACCUGAAGAUAUUUCAAACUAAGAAGUAGCAACAAAUCUUCAGGUUACUCGUGCUUGUUAGAUUGAAUUGCUGUGGUACAUGAAGCUCAUUAGAAGAGCAGUUGGCUAGUUGUCCCCUUCGGACAGUUUGUACCAAGUGGGUGGACAUCCUGGAAAUAUUCAAAAGUAUCCUAGAAUCUCAGGGUGGCAGAGUACCUUCCAUACCAAUGAGUAGCCCACAUGUACUUACAAGUGGGCUGUUCAGUGACCAAAUUGUUUGUUUAAUUAUUGUA